GACGAACGCUGGCGGCGUGCUUAACACAUGCAAGUCGAACGGAAAGGCCCUGCUUUUGUGGGGUGCCCGAGUGGCGAACGGGUGAGUAACACGUGAGUAACCUGCCCUUGACUUUGGGAUAACUUCAGGAAACUGGGGCUAAUACCGGAUAGGAGCUCCUGCUGCAUGGUGGGGGUUGGAAAGUUUCGGCGGUUGGGGAUGGACUCGCGGCUUAUCAGCUUGUUGGUGGGGUAGUGGCUUACCAAGGCUUUGACGGGUAGCCGGCCUGAGAGGGUGACCGGCCACAUUGGGACUGAGAUACGGCCCAGACUCCUACGGGAGGCAGCAGUGGGGAAUAUUGCACAAUGGGCGGAAGCCUGAUGCAGCAACGCCGCGUGCGGGAUGACGGCCUUCGGGUUGUAAACCGCUUUCGCCUGUGACGAAGCGUGAGUGACGGUAAUGGGUAAAGAAGCACCGGCUAACUACAUG
This 468-nucleotide ribosomal RNA is filed under the name uncultured bacterium. Its description in RNAcentral is "partial 16S ribosomal RNA". It matches the Rfam family "Bacterial small subunit ribosomal RNA", at positions 28 to 507 of the family's 1533-position model. The record is from RNAcentral.